UGGGGAAUUUUGGACAAUGGGCGCAAGCCUGAUCCAGCAAUGCCGCGUGCAGGAUGAAGGCCUUCGGGUUGUAAACUGCUUUUGUACGGAACGAAACGGCUCUGUCUAAUACAUGGGGCUAAUGACGGUACCGUAAGAAUAAGCACCGGCUAACUCUGUGCCAGCAGCCGCGGUAAUACAGAGGGUGCAAGCGUUAAUCGGAAUUACUGGGCGUAAAGCGCGCGUAGGUGGUUAGUUAAGUUGGAUGUGAAAUCCCCGGGCUCAACCUGGGAACUGCAUUCAAAACUGACUGACUAGAGUAUGGUAGAGGGUGGUGGAAUUCCAGGUGUAGCGGUGAAAUGCGUAGAGAUCUGGAGGAAUACCGAUGGCGAAGGCAAUCCCCUGGGCCUGUACUGACGCUCAUGCACGAAAGCGUGGGGAGCAAACA
RNAcentral lists this ribosomal RNA (427 nucleotides) under uncultured bacterium. RNAcentral's name for it is "bacterial SSU rRNA". It matches the Rfam family "Bacterial small subunit ribosomal RNA", at positions 355 to 774 of the family's 1533-position model. The record is from RNAcentral.